Molecule: long non-coding RNA, 906 nt
Organism: Suricata suricatta (meerkat)
Lineage: Eukaryota; Metazoa; Chordata; Mammalia; Carnivora; Herpestidae
Exons: 2
Source: RefSeq, a predicted model, not a curated record
UAGCCAAGACACAAGACUCUGGCCUGGGAAGGUUCCAGGCGCUCACAGCGGAACCACGGAGGCGCCCCUUUUAUUCCCCCCAAAAAACCGCAGCACGAAAGGCGCGCUUCCGGAGCGAGUCCCUCUGCGUCCCCUCCAGGGACAGGGAUGCUCCGGCUUCCCACCCAGUCCCCGAACGCCGUCCUAGUCCGUGGGGCGCUCCGGGUCCAGCGAGCGGAAGGGGUUGAGCCGGUCGGAGGAGCGCAGGGAGGGGGUCGGAGGGUUGCGCUUCGCGAAGGGUCCGAAGUACUCGGCGGCGAAGGUGAUGGCGUCGGCCGGCUGGCGCAGGAGCAGGAAGAGCAGGAAGUCCGAGACGAGCGCCUGGGCCUCGGGGUGCUGCCGCAGGUUCUGAUCCCACACCGCGGGUGUUCCCGGCUCUCCUUCACUCUCCCACCAGCCAGAGGCUUCACUCACCCUUGUCCCUCAAGACAGGCAUCUUGGUGAUCAUGCAGCACCCUGGGGAGCCCAUCUGGAUUCUCUUGGCCAGGUGCCUGGAGUACAACACAGGCAUGAGAGUGCGUGUCCUUCCCGCUCCCUUGAGGGCCGUCUCAGGGGCCUCCCUCCGUUCCUCUCCAACACCUCUGCUCCAGGGUUCCAGGGUUGUGUUCAUUUCUAGAUCCCCAGGUAAUGGCCCCUGCUUUUACUGUUCAUGCCCUUUUUGUCCUGUGCUGGUGUGCCAGGUCUGGCAGGAGACCAUCAGCGCUGAAAAUGAUGAAUUUCCAGCUGUGUGAUGCUCAAAAUAGAAACAACAUGCUAACUUAUUAAAUAAGGAAAGCCAACAAUGCUCUGAUGACUUUUUUCCCCCAGUGUAACGGAGGAUGAUAUCAAUACCUCUUUGGAAACUUCAAGAAGUAAAUCUCAAACAAA